Molecule: microRNA precursor, 82 nt
Filed under: Cebus imitator (Panamanian white-faced capuchin)
Lineage: Eukaryota; Metazoa; Chordata; Mammalia; Primates; Cebidae
Description: miRNA (ENSCCAG00000010182.1)
Source: RNAcentral
UUAGGGUGGCACAAAAGUAAUUGUGGUUUUUGCCAUUGAAAGUAAUGGCAAAAAUCGCAAUUUCUUUUGCACCAACCUAAUA